RNAcentral lists this long non-coding RNA (1090 nucleotides) under Lactuca sativa (garden lettuce). RNAcentral's name for it is "long non-coding RNA (LSAT_LNC003515)". Lineage: Eukaryota; Viridiplantae; Streptophyta; Magnoliopsida; Asterales; Asteraceae. The record is from RNAcentral.
UGUUCUUUAAUUGUACUACACAGUUAGCUUACUGUUCUUUAACUGUACUACAUAGCUAUCCUACUUGUUCUUUAGCUGUACUGCAUAGUUAGCUUACUUGUUCUUUUCAAGGCAACUAAUAUAUUGGUUGAAGAUAAAGACAAGAUUGAAGUGUUCGUUAAUUGUACUAUAUAGUCAGCUUACUUGUUCCCUCCCAGCUCCUGAAGUAUUUAGAUAGUAUGUUGGCAUUCCCAAAGUUGUGCAUUGGUAACAUUUUGUUCUUUGGCAUAGUCAUUUUGGAUGAAAUUAACAUAGUAUUUUGUUGUUAGGAUAUUGAAAGAUGAACCAUUGCUAUUCUGCUAAUUUUUCUAUGUUAGCUGAUAUGAUAGCUUCUGGGAUGUUGGUUCACUAAAACUUAAAUGACUGCAUAUAUAGGCAUAUAGCUAAGACUUCUUCAUUAUCUCAUAACCAGGUAACAAUAAGAAUGAUUGUUCAUGAGAAUAUUCUAAUAUUAUUACAUGAUCACAUUUUUAGGAAAAUAAGCUGGUUUUAACAUAUUUCUUGAUGUGCAAAGGGAAACAUUUGGACUAACAGGUGCAUAAACAUGAACACAAGGGAGUUAUUUGCAAUGUUGUUACUGGUUACUUUAGUGGCUGACAGGGUUUUUCAUAGGGAACGAAUCCAACCUAUAUUUCUUCAAGACAAGUAUAAUGAAACAAACAAAAUAGUGGUGGAAAUGUAGGUUUAGAUGAUUAAUACAUACCUCAGCACAUUGCUCUUCAAUUUCAUGUCUUAAUUUCAGGGCAUACUCACUGCUCACAUCCAUGUUAUUCAAGGCAGUAGAAAUAUCAAUUCCUGUUUUCUGCACUCCAACACCACCCAAAAACAGCUUUCCUCCAAGGUUAGGCUCUCUCAUUUUCUGCUGCAGAGCAUCAUUAUACUCACCACCCAGCAAACUUACAGCACUGCUCAAAACUGCAAUAACAGAAUUAAUAUUGGAUGUGGAUAUGGACCUGCGACAGCAACUCUGAAGAACAUAGAACACAUCAUCAACCAUGGAAGUUGUGAGGCUGUCCAUUACAUGCUCAUCAAUCUUAAUAGCCUUCCUGAC